RNAcentral lists this ribosomal RNA (552 nucleotides) under uncultured euryarchaeote. Its description in RNAcentral is "bacterial SSU rRNA". It matches the Rfam family "Archaeal small subunit ribosomal RNA", at positions 325 to 879 of the family's 1478-position model. Lineage: Archaea; Methanobacteriati; Methanobacteriota. The record is from RNAcentral.
AUGGGGCGCAGCAGGCGCGAAACCUCCGCAAUGCGCGAAAGCGCGACGGGGGGACCCCGAGUGCCCUGCCUCUGGCAGGGCUUUUCCGGAGUGUAAACAGCUCCGGGAAUAAGGGCUGGGCAAGUCCGGUGCCAGCAGCCGCGGUAAUACCGGCGGCCCAAGUGGUGGCCACUGUUAUUGGGCCUAAAGCGUCCGUAGCCGGCCCGGUAAGUCUCUGCUUAAAUCCCGCGGCUUAACCGCGGGGCUGGCAGAGAUACUGCCGGGCUUGGGACCGGGAGAGGCCGGGGGUACCCCAGGGGUAGCGGUGAAAUGCGUUGAUCCCUGGGGGACCACCUGUGGCGAAGGCGCCCGGCUGGAACGGGUCCGACGGUGAGGGACGAAGGCCGGGGGAGCAAACCGGAUUAGAUACCCGGGUAGUCCCGGCUGUAAACUCUGCGGACUAGGUGUCGCGUGCCCUUCGGGGGCACGCGGUGCCGAAGGGAAGCCGUUAAGUCCGCCGCCUGGGGAGUACGGCCGCAAGACUGAAACUUAAAGGAAUUGGCGGGGGAGCAC